UUAAGCGACUAAGCGUACACGGUGGAUGCCCUGGCAGUCAGAGGCGAUGAAGGACGUGCUAAUCUGCGAUAAGCGUCGGUAAGGUGAUAUGAACCGUUAUAACCGGCGAUUUCCGAAUGGGGAAACCCAGUGUGUUUCGACACACUAUCAUUAACUGAAUCCAUAGGUUAAUGAGGCGAACCGGGGGAACUGAAACAUCUAAGUACCCCGAGGAAAAGAAAUCAACCGAGAUUCCCCCAGUAGCGGCGAGCGAACGGGGAGCAGCCCAGAGCCUGAAUCAGUGUGUGUGUUAGUGGAAGCGUCUGGAAAGGCGCGCGAUACAGGGUGACAGCCCCGUACACAAAAAUGCACAUGCUGUGAGCUCGAUGAGUAGGGCGGGACACGUGGUAUCCUGUCUGAAUAUGGGGGGACCAUCCUCCAAGGCUAAAUACUCCUGACUGACCGAUAGUGAACCAGUACCGUGAGGGAAAGGCGAAAAGAACCCCGGCGAGGGGAGUGAAAAAGAACCUGAAACCGUGUACGUACAAGCAGUGGGAGCCUCUUUUAUGGGGUGACUGCGUACCUUUUGUAUAAUGGGUCAGCGACUUAUAUUCUGUAGCAAGGUUAACCGAAUAGGGGAGCCGAAGGGAAACCGAGUCUUAACUGGGCGUUAAGUUGCAGGGUAUAGACCCGAAACCCGGUGAUCUAGCCAUGGGCAGGUUGAAGGUUGGGUAACACUAACUGGAGGACCGAACCGACUAAUGUUGAAAAAUUAGCG
Molecule: ribosomal RNA, 757 nt
Filed under: Escherichia coli STEC_MHI813
Lineage: Bacteria; Pseudomonadati; Pseudomonadota; Gammaproteobacteria; Enterobacterales; Enterobacteriaceae
Description: bacterial LSU rRNA
Rfam family: Bacterial large subunit ribosomal RNA
Source: RNAcentral